UUUUUUCCAGCUGCUGUGGUGCUGGCUGAAGCUGCUGGCCACCACAUGCUGUGACUGCCACCUCCAACAUGACAGUGUGGGGGAUCAGCUACAGCUGAUGGGCUGAGCCUGUAAACAAACUGUGCCACAGCACCUGCCAGCCCCAAGAUGGUUCCUGGUGUCCAUGUGGAUUGCUGCAGCACAGAAAGCUUUGCCAUGGCAGAAGCACCACGGAAAGUACAGGUUUUCAAGUGCAGAGACAAAGGAUCUGGGGACUACAGUGUUUCUAAACCUGCAAAAACUCAGAGGAGGAGAACAUAUCCAAGAUUCCAGGUGCACACUUCAGUAGAGCAACAUUAAGGGAGAAGCUUUUUCUUUCUCACUUGGUUUUCAAUUUCUUUAAUUUUUCCAAAUAGUUUAAUUAGUUCAGGUGAUUUAAUUAACAAUUACACUGUUUGGGUUUGCUCUGAAAAGGUUUGACUGAAUCAAGCCUUGCCCUUCCUUUUGCAUUAAACUAACAAUAUAAGAGUGUCUGAGCAGCAGGUUCAUGGAAAAUGGAGCCUGGAAUCAGAGUUUGAUCACCAGAGCUGCUGCUUUGGCUCCCUUCACAUUGCAAGGGAGAAGGCAACAUGUAGUUGAAAAAAAAAAAGAGGAUUUUCAGGUACAGGCAAGGAAU
Molecule: long non-coding RNA, 655 nt
Organism: Haemorhous mexicanus (house finch)
Lineage: Eukaryota; Metazoa; Chordata; Aves; Passeriformes; Fringillidae
Exons: 3
Source: RefSeq, a predicted model, not a curated record